Molecule: long non-coding RNA, 1568 nt
Organism: Erinaceus europaeus (western European hedgehog)
Lineage: Eukaryota; Metazoa; Chordata; Mammalia; Eulipotyphla; Erinaceidae
Exons: 5
Source: RefSeq, a predicted model, not a curated record
UGGCACUGCAGGACUCUCUAGGCUUCCAGUUCUUCUGGACCCUUCAUUCCAACCUACUGAGUUGGGGGUCUCCGCAAGCCCCAACCAGUGAAGCAAGGUGCUGGACUCUGCAUGGAGCUGGCAGGCCCUCUAUGUAUAAGAGCAGGCCUUGGGGGUCCUGACAAGCUCAGUUUGUUCAGCAUUGCAGAGAAUGUGGCAUCACUGCUCUGUGUGGUUCUUCCAGAAUCAUCUAUUUCUGCCUCUCCUGGGCCUGAUUCAGGGGAGGAUAGUCUCUGGCUGCUGCCCCUGUGCUCAGACAGAGCACUGCUCAGUUUUGACUUUUGUUAAUGCCAGGGAUUGAACAUGGGACCUUGGAGUCUCAAGACUUCUGCAUAAACUACUGUGCUAUCUCUCCAACCCAAGAAGUCUCUACCUCUACAGCUUGUUACCUGAGGACUCAGGGGCAAGCAACAACAAUAGCAACAACAACAAAAAGGAAACACAAUGGGACAGAUAACCUCCAGGAGCAGCGGAUUCAUAGUGCAGGAACGGAGCCCGCAAUAACCCUGGAGGAAAGAAAAAAUGAUUUUACAUGAGAGUGAAAGACAGAGCCAGAGUGCACUACUCUGGUACAUGUGGUGCUAGGACUGGAUGGACCCUGGAACUUCAGGCAAGUCCAUAUAGAAGAGGAGUGGUUAGAUCAACAUCUUUUCCCCCCUCGAUGAGGAAUGAACAUUCGUCUCUUUUCAUACACAAAUCUUCAAAAUCUCUGUCCAGCAUAAUCCUACUCUCUUGGACAAAAUCAUAAGUAUGUUCACUGUCUCUUAAGAGAAGCUACCCAAGCCUUGAGUAGUGACUUUUUCAGAGGUCUUAAGACAUGAGCACUUGUAGUCUGGGAGGUGGUGCAGUGGUUAAGACAUUGAACUAUCAAGCAUGAGAUCCCAAGUUCAAUCCCGGCAGCACAUGUACCAGAGUGAUGUCUGGUUCUUUCUCUCGCCUAUCUUUCUCAUGAGUAAAUAAAUAAAAUAUUUUUUAAUUGUCUUUAUUUUAUUUAUUAGACAGAGACAGCCAGAAAUCUAGAGGGAAGGGGGUGAUAGAGAGGGAGAUACCUGCAACAUUGCUUCAUCACUCACAAAGCUUUUCUUCUGCAGGUGGGGAGUGGGGGCUUGAACUCGGGUCCUUCUGUACUGUCACAUGUGCGCUCAACCAGUUGCACCACCACCCAGUCCCAUAAAUAAAAUCUUAAAAAAAAAAAAAAAAAAAGACAUGAGCCCUUUUUUAGAGAAUAACCUCAAGGGGGCCAGGUGAUGGCAUACCUGGUUAAGCACUCACAUUACAGUGCGCAAAAGCCCACGUUCAAGUCCCUGGUCCCUGUUUAUAAUCAGGGUAUCUAAUGCCUUGAAACUGUAGGGGGAAAGCUUCAUGAGAGGUGAAGUAGGACACCAGAUGUCUCUCUGUCUCUCUCCCUUUCUAUCUACCCUGCCCCCUCAACUUCUCUCUGUCUCUAAUAAAUAAAAAGAUUUUAAAAAAAUGAGAUGAACCUCAGGCAUUAAUUGUUUCAUUUUCUUUUUUUUCUUUUUCUUUUUCUU